CACACUGGGACUGAGACACGGCCCAGACUCCUACGGGAGGCAGCAGUGGGGAAUAUUGGACAAUGGGCGCAAGCCUGAUCCAGCAAUGCCGCGUGGGUGAAGAAGGUCUUCGGAUUGUAAAGCCCUUUCGGCGGGGACGAUGAUGACGGUACCCGCAGAAGAAGCCCCGGCUAACUUCGUGCCAGCCGCCGCCGUAACAC
This 200-nucleotide ribosomal RNA is filed under the name uncultured bacterium. RNAcentral's name for it is "partial 16S ribosomal RNA". It matches the Rfam family "Bacterial small subunit ribosomal RNA", at positions 309 to 526 of the family's 1533-position model. The record is from RNAcentral.